This 408-nucleotide ribosomal RNA is filed under the name uncultured bacterium. RNAcentral's name for it is "bacterial SSU rRNA". It matches the Rfam family "Bacterial small subunit ribosomal RNA", at positions 97 to 501 of the family's 1533-position model. The record is from RNAcentral.
GGCGGACGGGUGAGUAAUGUCUGGGAAACUGCCUGAUGGAGGGGGAUAACUACUGGAAACGGUAGCUAAUACCGCAUAACGUCGCAAGACCAAAGAGGGGGACCUUCGGGCCUCUUGCCAUCAGAUGUGCCCAGAUGGGAUUAGCUAGUAGGUGGGGUAACGGCUCACCUAGGCGACGAUCCCUAGCUGGUCUGAGAGGAUGACCAGCCACACUGGAACUGAGACACGGUCCAGACUCCUACGGGAGGCAGCAGUGGGGAAUAUUGCACAAUGGGCGCAAGCCUGAUGCAGCCAUGCCGCGUGUAUGAAGAAGGCCUUCGGGUUGUAAAGUACUUUCAGCGGGGAGGAAGGGAGUAAAGUUAGUACCUUUGCUCAUUGACGUUACCCGCAGAAGAAGCACCGGCUAAC